This 469-nucleotide ribosomal RNA is filed under the name uncultured bacterium. RNAcentral's name for it is "bacterial SSU rRNA". It matches the Rfam family "Bacterial small subunit ribosomal RNA", at positions 1 to 524 of the family's 1533-position model. The record is from RNAcentral.
UAGAGUUUGAUCAUGGCUCAGAACAAACGCUGGCGGCAGGCUUAACACAUGCAAGUCGAACGCCCCGCAAGGGGAGUGGCAGACGGGUGAGUAACGCGUGGGAACAUACCCUUUGGUGCGGAACAACAACUGGAAACGGUUGCUAAUACCGCAUGAGCCCUACGGGGGAAAGAUUUAUCGCCAAAGGAUUGGCCCGCGUCGGAUUAGCUAGUUGGUGGGGUAAUGGCCUACCAAGGCGACGAUCCGUAGCUGGUCUGAGAGGAUGAUCAGCCACACUGGGACUGAGACACGGCCCAGACUCCUACGGGAGGCAGCAGUGGGGAAUAUUGGACAAUGGGCGCAAGCCUGAUCCAGCCAUGCCGCGUGAGUGAUGAAGGCCCUAGGGUUGUAAAGCUCUUUCAGCGAGGAGGAUAAUGACGUUACUCGCAGAAGAAGCCCCGGCUAACUUCGUGCCAGCAGCCGCGGUAAU